This is a non-coding RNA of Pelobates cultripes (western spadefoot toad), 396 nucleotides long. The record is from the annotation of a GenBank genome assembly. Lineage: Eukaryota; Metazoa; Chordata; Amphibia; Anura; Pelobatidae.
AGCACACGCAUCCAGCCAUCUAAAAGAAAACGUGAUUCAUCAGACCAGGCAACCUCCUUCAAUUUCUCCAUAGUCCAUUUCUGACACUUAUAUCCCUAUUGAAAGCGCACUUGGUGGUGGACAAAGGUCAUCAUGGGCACUCUACGGCUAUGCCACCCCAUACGCAGCAAUCUUUAAAGCACUGUGUGUUCUGACCCAUUUUCUAUCAUGGCCAGCAUUACGUUUUUCAGCAACUUGAGCUACAGUACCUCUUCUGUGUGAUCGGAUCAGAAGAGCUAGCCUUCACUCCCCACAUGCAUCAAUGAGCCUUGAGCCCAUGAUGCUGAUGCUAGUUCACCAGUUGUCAUUCUUUGCACCACUUUUGGUGGAUACUAUCCUCUGCACACCGGAAACACC